UAGUUGGUGAGGUAAUGGCUCACCAAGGCUAUGACGCAUAACUGGUCUGAGAGGAUGAUCAGUCACACUGGAACUGAGACACGGUCCAGACUCCUACGGGAGGCAGCAGUAGGGAAUAUUGCUCAAUGGGGGAAACCCUGAAGCAGCAACGCCGCGUGGAGGAUGACACUUUUCGGAGCGUAAACUCCUUUUGUUAGGGAAGAACAAUGACGGUACCUAACGAAUAAGCACCGGCUAACUCCGUGCCAGCAGCCGCGGUAAUACGGAGGGUGCAAGCGUCACUCGGAAUCACUGGGCGUAAAGGACGCGUAGGCGGAUUAUCAAGUCUUUUGUGAAAUCUAAUGGCUCAACCAUUAAACUGC
Molecule: ribosomal RNA, 362 nt
Filed under: Campylobacter lanienae
Lineage: Bacteria; Pseudomonadati; Campylobacterota; Epsilonproteobacteria; Campylobacterales; Campylobacteraceae
Description: bacterial SSU rRNA
Rfam family: Bacterial small subunit ribosomal RNA
Source: RNAcentral